This is a non-coding RNA of Peromyscus maniculatus bairdii (prairie deer mouse), 1122 nucleotides long. The record is from RefSeq and is a predicted model, not a curated record. Lineage: Eukaryota; Metazoa; Chordata; Mammalia; Rodentia; Cricetidae.
GUCAUCACUCUGUCAAGUCCAGAAUAAAGUCUUUUGAAAAAGCCCUCAAUCUUCAGCUCUUACAAUUUUUCAGCUCCCCAUUCAAUUAUCUUCUUUUGGCUUGGAUGGAGUGGGUAACACGGAUGUCACGCUUGGGAUGAGCACUCCCCAAAUCACGUACUUUCUUCACUUUGAAUAGCUGUGAGUUGCUAUGAAAAUCACUGUCUACUGCCAUAAGAAACCUCUCUGAUGAGAGUUGAGAGCUACACUAAUCUGUGGUUAUGCAGAUUUCACCUGCCUAUCAUUUUAACCUGCAAUAACCAAGCAGCCUGAAGACACCACUGAGUUUAGAUGGAAUAACUGCUAACAUCCCAUCUAAAGCUGUGUUAUCCUUGCUGUCUGUGGCAACUGAAUGAUAAUUUUUUUAAAAGAUAAAUAGUAAUAGUCAAGGGCCUGUGGUAGUGACACUUCAGUAAUCAUGUGGAAGACUUAUAAGAAAGCAAAACUUCAAGUAAACAGGCAGCUGGCCACCAAAACGAGUUUUAUACUGUUUAAUACAGAUAACUUCAGAUGCCUUAAAAUGUCAAGGGUUGAAGUCAUUACACAUAGCCAUCAUCUGUGACAAUUCAGCCAGCAUUUAAAACUCAUUUCUGAGAUAGCUUCUCCCAAAUUGAAGCCUGAGGGCAUGUGGAAUCUUAAAUCUAUCUUUUCGUAAAUAGUCUUAGCAAAGCUGACCACCAUGCUCCUCAGAUCCUGGGAGGCACAGUACACUCUAAAGUUUCCAUUACCACUUUUACUGAAUUUUGUGCUACCAGUUUUCAUUUGCCUACUGGAUGCAAGUCUCUCUUCCUUUGAAAUCGCUGCAACUUUGAAAAAAAAUAGCACUUGCAGAAGCAUUCCCUAGUACAAAUGCCAGAGAAGCAAGCAGAAGAAGUCAAAUGUUUUAACUUUUUAAAAAACUUGUUUAUCACAGCAACAGAGAAGCAACCUGGGACAAAAGUCAGAAGGAAGGAGAUCCAGCUUCGUGGACCACAUUACCCAGAUGGAUUCAAGAGUCAUAUUCUGAAGACCAUCACAAGAAAUGAUUGCUUCUCAUGAACAAUUAGUACAAUUGCAUUUUAAAAUAAAACUUUAUUGAGAAAA